AAUUCUCUAACCAGAAUACUUAAUAACCUCCUGGUUUCCCCUACUAGCUAAGGGUGGAGCUUCCUUAGUGCCAAAGGGGGGCAUAUGCCCCCCUCCCUGUAAAAAUUGCUUAACGUGUCACACGUGGGAAUAGGUAUUUGACAUGUCACGUUACAUUUUUCCAUGAAAAUUCAAAAGAUAGUUGAAUUAAACCAAGAAUUGGAAGGGUAGGAGUGAAAGAUUUAAACUAGAAACUACAAGUAAGCGAAAAUAAUGCUUUUUGUAGCAAUGGUUAUAACAUUGUAAAUUAUAGUGAUCUAAUGCAUCCUUUCAUGCUCAACUCCAUAUUAUAUUUACAAAUAUCAAGAGUACUCAUUGCCAAACAUUUGCAUGGAACAUGCGGGAACCAUCAUGAAGGCUUUAGCUGCAAAGAUUGCACUCAUGGAUACAACAAAAGGGACAUGUGUGACAUCUGCUAAGGGACACAACCUAAUUAUAUGGUAAGUCAUCACUGAGCUUAACUAUUGUUCAAACACCGUGGUAAAGAAAUUAGAAUUUUCUGCAAAAGAGGACUAUGACCAACGGAAUAUGCCAUUUUCUGCAGAUUUGGAAAGGGGACUAUGACCAACUUAUAUAUGACCAACGAAAUAUCCCAUCCACACCCCAGCAAUAUGCCAUUUUGUUCAAUUUAAAAGGGGACUGAUAUCACUGAGCUUAUCCAGCCCACGGAAUAUGCCAUUUUGUUCAAACACCGCUGUAAAGAAAUUAGAAUUUUCCCCUGCAAGUAGAAGUGCACAAUUGUUACUUGUCACUAAAAACGCUAACUAUUGUUAAUGAAAAUGCAUAUUAUUUAUUGUACAAUAUUUUACAACAGCACUUCCAAAUCUGCACCUAACCAUAUAUCAAGUAUUGUUCCUAACAAACUACAUUACAGUAAAUUCCGCCACUCCAUUCUGAACCUAUAUCAAACUACAGUACAAUAAUUUCUGAACCUAUAUCAAACUACAGUACGGUAUUUUCUGAACCUAUAUCAAACUACAGUACAGUAUUUUCUGAACCUAUAUCAAACUACAGUACAGUAUUUUCUGAACCUAUAUCAAACUACAGUACAGUAUUUUUUGAACCUAUAUCAAACUACAGUACACAUUGAUCAUAACAGGAUAAUGCACAGGGGAGCACACAACGACAUCACACAUUGAUCAUAGGCCCAAGCAGGCAUAUUUACGUGGAUGAGGUUCAUGAGCACAUCAGACGAUAGACUACAGAGCACGAACAGGUAGACGUCAACAGAUUGCAAAGCUCGUUUACAUAUAAGCUAAAUGUGCUAUUAUUUCUAGUGAAAAACCAUGAUAUUCCAAUUCCUGUUUGUAAUGUUAAAUACUAAUUAAAGAACUGUGGGGCAGUGCUUCAAAACUUUAAAUUGCAAAAGCAAUAAACCUGGGAAGCAAAGCCUCCAGGACAUGCAUAGGAGGACAACUCACAUCAAAAAUAGAAUAUGACCUUUUAUGCUAGUCAACCAGAAGGCCAAUUGAAUAUACGUAAUUAAUUGCUAUCAAGAGAGCCAAAGCAACACAUGGAUUUCAUUUUUUUAUUGGAUGAAGCGCAUAAUGUAUACUGUAUAAACAAAUUCAAAGUUCAGUUAUGGUCAACCAUACCUUGAUACAAGUAGGUCUAAUAUUGCAAACUGUAACCGCGAUGUCGACAAAAUAAGCUGCACAUCGAGCACUGAAAUAUCAUCUGCACAUCAGAGACCUUGCAGGAUGCUCUAUCCAAUUUGUUGUGAGUCCAGAAUAUGCUCUUUCUUAAGAUUAAAAUCAUAUAGAUAAAAGAUGUACAAAACAACAGACAAUCAAAACCCAGUGCUAGAAGUAAGGCUCCUCAUAGUAAAAAAAAUCAUGUUGAGCAAAUCUUGACCUUUCAGGAUGCUCUAUCCAAGUUGAGAGAUAUUUUAAAGCAGUAAAUGGUGUUUGGAGUAGCACUUGACAAUGGCAUAGGAAUGCUCAUGUGUACAAAUUUCAUGGUAAUUAGAGAAAGUAGCAAAGCUCAGGUGCACAUGGGUCCACAACACCAUAUUGCAAAUCAACCAGAGUAAUAGACAUCAUUACUUUGGAUAACCUAUAGCCGAGUUACAUUGGAUACGGAUGCUACUGCAGUGAAAAUCUUAGUAUCACACCAUUGUUGACAAAAGAUAGGAGGGGCUACUACUGCGUCAUUAUAUUAUUUAUAAGCAAAAAUUUACAUGAGUAAUUCUAAACUCUUAGCUGCCCACAAUCUGAAUUGUCAACAGCCAUAUUCAAUUCCCUUUGAUAACCUAAAGACACCAUGCCCAAUGAGAAGAAGACAAAUGAGAUUAGAGUGCAAGUUACUGAAUCAUAUAUAGGAUAAACACCUCCUGAACCUGUUUUUUCUGAGUAGGGGCCCGCCUCACCUUGUCGUUGUAGCCUACAGGUUGGCGCUUGGGGGGGAGGGGGGGGGGCAUGGAGAGGCCAGGGAUGUGGUUCUCCUGUUGCAAGCGCCGAUUGGAGAUGCAGCAGGCCAAGGGGCUAGCAGCAUCUCACUUCUUCCUCGUCUUUUUUUGGUGGAGACCAAGCCUCUCCUUCUCCUAAGCGCCGUGUAACAGGGGGAGCACGCACCAACGAUCCUCGAGUGCAAUAAAGAAGGAAUGAGUUAGGCGAGAUAAGCAGGGGUGAGGGCGUUAUAUACUGCCAAUUUUUGGAGCAAAGAUAAGCCGAAACUAACAGCGUCAGAUCAACCAAACAUCCAAAACAUCUGAACCUGAGAUGACAACCCAGAGAUCCACAUUCCGUAUAUACUGCCAAUAGUAAAACUAUCCAUCAAACCCAAAUCAGUCACUUAUCAAGCAAAAACAAGCCAAGACUAACUGCAUCCGAUCACCAGAUGCCAUAACACCCAAUCCAACAGCUGCCACAAUAACAAAGAGAUCCCCACUCCGUAUAUUUCACUAAUAUACAAACAGUUGUUAUGUCCAGUUGACCGUUUCUAAAGCAAAGUUAAGUUGAAACUAAAAGCAUCAGACAACCAAAACACCCCAAAUUCCAUAACCUGAGAUCCCAUGGCACCCAGUCCAACAGUGAACCAUCUCAUGAACCUAAUUAAGUAGUGUAUAUAUGAACCUAAACAACAUGACAUAGCUGAACAACAACACGAAUAGCAGCUGCAUGCGGAUCCAAUUGAUAUAUAGUAAACAAAAGGCCCAGAAAAAAAUCACCUCCAGAGGACGUCUCCAAGGAGCAUCAAGUCGCCAUCCUUGUCUCCGUCCUGCUCACCGUCUCCACGAAACUCAUCUCCUUGUUCCCACACUUGCCUGGCUCUGAGAUUCAAAUCGUCAGAAGCCCACCAGAAGAGCAACGCAUCGCGUGCUCGUCUCUGCGGAGCAACGACGCGAUUAGCGGUCUACACAGUCUUCCCAACGGGGAGAGCAGCGGCGUCGGUGGCGGCGAUGGGUGAAAAAGGGAAGGAAAGGCGGUGGGAGCGCGACAAAUCUGAGGCGGCUCACCUCGGUUUGCCCUCUUCCCGGAGGAGCACGAACUUGAGGACACGCUCCGGUCCUCCUCCCGUUGAUGGCGAAGCAGGAGGACGGGCGGCAGCAGUUGGUGGUCGAUCUCCUCUUCCACCGCUACCCGUUGCCCCUCCACAACCCGAGGGCCGGUGGUGAGGAACGAGCACGACGGGGAGAGCGGCGGCGGUGGCAAGCUCGGCCCGACGCGGAGCAGUAGUGGCCGUGUUGCUUCUCGGAGGGCGGCGGCGCGAGGGAAGGCAACGAAGAGAAGGGGAGGGGGCGGCGGCGGCAACACGAGAGAGAGAUGCGAGGGAGAGACGCAGCCCUACCUGUCUCACCGAUUGGGGAGGGAGCAACCAAUGGUGAGAAGCCACUUGGC
This 3878-nucleotide long non-coding RNA is filed under the name Triticum aestivum (bread wheat). RNAcentral's name for it is "long non-coding RNA (TAES_LNC018390)". Lineage: Eukaryota; Viridiplantae; Streptophyta; Magnoliopsida; Poales; Poaceae. The record is from RNAcentral.